Molecule: non-coding RNA, 45 nt
Organism: Schistosoma margrebowiei
Lineage: Eukaryota; Metazoa; Platyhelminthes; Trematoda; Strigeidida; Schistosomatidae
Source: Rfam
AUUCAGCUGACGAGUACUAAAUAGGACGAAACACUCGUUUUGGAU